Molecule: long non-coding RNA, 647 nt
Organism: Vicia villosa (hairy vetch)
Lineage: Eukaryota; Viridiplantae; Streptophyta; Magnoliopsida; Fabales; Fabaceae
Exons: 3
Source: RefSeq, a predicted model, not a curated record
UGGCUUUUGGAUAUCUCAGGUUCUAUGAAUGGCUACCUUCUUUGAAAACAUAAGCCCCUCCUCUACCAAUUGUUACAAUAAUUGCAGAUCUUUCAGUUUUCUAAAACUUCUCUCAUGUUAUAUAUCUACUCACCCAAUGGAAUUCCACUCUUCAGUGUACCUGUUUCUCCUUUUAAAUAAAAAUGCAGAGGAAGAAAAUAGGGAAGACUGAAAGGCACAAGGAUUAGGGUUAAACCACACGAUUGAUUUCCAGCGAGCUCUCAGUUCGAUUUCACGGUGGUGGUUGGAGAUGUGCCAUAAAUAUGGUGUGAUGCAUAGAGAUCUAAAGCCUGAGAAUUUUUUGUUUGCGAAUAAGAAGGAAAUAACGGCUUUUAAAGCCAUCAAUUUUGGUUUGUCGAUGUUCUUUAAACCAGUGAAGAAAAUGAGCAUGGUGAUACAACUUUAAGAAUCUACUGAUCUGGAACUGAACUGGGAAAUUCUCAUUUCUAUCUACCGUCGAAGAGUCAGGUUUGAGCUUUAAGUUGCUUACAAAUAUUUCUGACUUCAUUAAACCAACGUCUAACAUCAUAGUAAUUAAGAGAGUUUAAAAUUGGGAUUUCCAUUUGUUCUGAAAAAUGAAAGAGGAACUCAUGUUUUUGAUAAGUUAC